This 29-nucleotide non-coding RNA is filed under the name Homo sapiens (human). The record is from RNAcentral. Lineage: Eukaryota; Metazoa; Chordata; Mammalia; Primates; Hominidae.
UGCAGUUGAGGAAAAGGUGGCCCAUCUGG